UUUAAUGCUCAAAAUUUUGUUAAUAUCAUGUAUCGAUUAUCAUAAUUUUCUAUAAACGAUUCUGCAUUUCAAUUAUUGAGCAGGUAAACAAUCGAUUGUUUUGUAGAAGAGGAUAUUUGCAUCUACGGGUGCAAUUUUUACUCAAAAGAAUAAACAACAAAAUCCUAUUGUCUUGGUAAGAAGUCCAUACAAAUGUGAUUUAUUCCGACUAAUGUCUACAAAGGGGGCAAAUUCAGAACUCUCUUCAAAUGGGUGCUAAUCUUAAGUUUGGUGAUCAAAUACCUGUUGUUAAGGUUAUAUACUUAUAUUUAUUGCAUCCUUUGUUAUUCUUCAUAACAACUAGACCUACUUUGUGAUUGUGUUUUUAUUUCAUUUUUGCUCUCUUAAAAUGUUACUCCCUAUGAUCAUAGAAAAGUAUCGGCCUACUGGGGUUAGCUUAAGCAUAAAUCUCAAUGUUCAGAUGAAAAUUUUAUGGUUGCUUA
This is a long non-coding RNA of Papaver somniferum (opium poppy), 482 nucleotides long. RefSeq lists it as uncharacterized. The record is from RefSeq and is a predicted model, not a curated record. NCBI's taxonomy places the organism in Eukaryota, Viridiplantae, Streptophyta, Magnoliopsida, Ranunculales, Papaveraceae. The transcript has 3 exons.